AGAGUUUGAUCCUGGCUCAGGAUGAACGCUAGCUACAGGCUUAACACAUGCAAGUCGAGGGGAAACGACAUCGAAAGCUUGCUUUUGAUGGGCGUCGACCGGCGCACGGGUGAGUAACGCGUAUCCAACCUGCCCAUCACUUGGGGAUAACCUUGCGAAAGUAAGACUAAUACCCAAUGAUAUCUCUAGAAGACAUCUGAAAGAGAUUAAAGAUUUAUCGGUGAUGGAUGGGGAUGCGUCUGAUUAGCUUGUUGGCGGGGUAACGGCCCACCAAGGCUACGAUCAGUAGGGGUUCUGGAGAGGAAGGUCCCCCACAUUGGAACUGAGGACACGGUCCAAACUCCUACGGGAGGCA
Molecule: ribosomal RNA, 355 nt
Filed under: uncultured bacterium
Lineage: Bacteria
Description: bacterial SSU rRNA
Rfam family: Bacterial small subunit ribosomal RNA
Source: RNAcentral